UUUCGACCUCAACUCAGUCGUGACUACCCGCUGAACUUAAGCAUAU
This 46-nucleotide ribosomal RNA is filed under the name Dentiphilometra monopteri. RNAcentral describes it as "partial 28S ribosomal RNA". The record is from RNAcentral. Lineage: Eukaryota; Metazoa; Nematoda; Chromadorea; Rhabditida; Philometridae.